UUUAAUGUAGAAUUCACAACCAUGAUCUAGCAAAUAAAUGUUAUGGUCAUGGUAUCCUCGUCUAUUUCAAAGUUGAGUAAAGGCGGUUGGUGAAUGAUAUGAUGAAGUACCAUAAAGCACCAAUGUUCAUGAUGAGAGAAUUGAAAGAUCGAAAUCUAGAGAAUUUGACCUGUGUCACACAAGCAUUUAAGAAGUUCAUACACGAAAA
Molecule: long non-coding RNA, 208 nt
Filed under: Lathyrus oleraceus (garden pea)
Lineage: Eukaryota; Viridiplantae; Streptophyta; Magnoliopsida; Fabales; Fabaceae
Description: Pisum sativum (pea) long non-coding RNA (PSAT_LNC013636)
Source: RNAcentral